This 313-nucleotide long non-coding RNA is filed under the name Trifolium pratense (red clover). Its description in RNAcentral is "long non-coding RNA (TPRA_LNC004648)". The record is from RNAcentral. Lineage: Eukaryota; Viridiplantae; Streptophyta; Magnoliopsida; Fabales; Fabaceae.
CUAGCUAGCUAGCUGGGUGAAAUAGUGUACAUGAUUGAAUGUGCAUUUAUUUAGCUAGCAAAUCAAAGAAUUAAAGUUGGUUGAGCAACGAGCCACAUUUUGUGUUGAGGUGUUCUCACAAGUCCCCACCAUCUUACAACUUUCAACUUCAUGCUGCUCGUUGCUCUCACUUUUCAGUUUUUUAUUUUUAGACUAUUUUUUUUUUUAUUUUGGUUUCUUGCGUUUAAUAUUUUAGACUAGUUUCUUAUGUCCUUUUUAAAUUACUAUAUGUCUUGUAUGCUCUAGGUUCUUUCUGGCAUUUCAGAUGUACUAG